GACGGAGGGGGCUAGCGUUGUUCGGAAUUACUGGGCGUAAAGAGUGCGUAGGUGGUUUAGUAAGUUGGAAGUGAAAGCCCGGGGCUUAACCUCGGAAUAGCUUUCAAAACUACUAAUCUAGAGUGUAGUAGGGGAUGAUGGGAUUCCUAGUGUAGAGGUGAAAUUCUUAGAUAUUAGGAGGAACACCGGUGGCGAAGGCGGUCAUCUGGGCUACAACUGACACUGAUGCACGAAAGCGUGGGGAGCAAACAGG
RNAcentral lists this ribosomal RNA (253 nucleotides) under uncultured bacterium. RNAcentral's name for it is "partial 16S ribosomal RNA". It matches the Rfam family "Bacterial small subunit ribosomal RNA", at positions 524 to 776 of the family's 1533-position model. The record is from RNAcentral.